This is a long non-coding RNA of Juglans microcarpa x Juglans regia, 385 nucleotides long. RefSeq lists it as uncharacterized. The record is from RefSeq and is a predicted model, not a curated record. NCBI's taxonomy places the organism in Eukaryota, Viridiplantae, Streptophyta, Magnoliopsida, Fagales, Juglandaceae. The transcript has 3 exons.
GAAUGCUUUUCGCGUUACAAGUGAGCUGGAAAAUGGUGCUGAGGAAGGUUUUUUGACUCCAACGGAGGCAAAUGAUUUGAUUUGUGGCAUGACUGAGACGGCUUCUUCUCAAAGUGAUGGAAUCUUUAGUGUGUAUAAGAAAUCUGUAGAACCAUUACUACUUCAAAACAAGAAACAAACUUGCAAUCAAAGUGGGAAUAUGAGAGGGAUCAAGGUGGGCCAACCCAGUAAUCAAAGUACUUCAUUAAUCUAAUUUGUGUUAAAGUAGUUUUUUUUUUUUUUUUUUUUUUUGUCGUCUCUUAUUUGAAAGCCUAGAGAUUUCCACAUAUAUGUACUUAGUCAAUGUGGUCAAAUGCAGUUCUGAGCUUUUAUAGUUUUACUUUUU